UCCGGUUUGUCACCGGCAGUCCCAUUAGAGUGCCCAACUUAAUGUGGCAACUAAGGACGGGGGUUGCGCUCGUUGCGGGACUUAACCCAACAUCUCACGACACGAGCUGACGACAGCCAUGCACCACCUGUAUACCGACCUUGCGGGGGCUACAUCUCUGCAGCUUUCCGGCAUAUGUCAAACCCAGGUAAGGUUCUUCGCGUUGCAUCGAAUUAAUCCGCAUGCUCCGCCGCUUGUGCGGGGACCCGUCAAUUCCUUUGAGUUUUAGCCUUGCGGCCGUACUCCCCAGGCGGGGUGCUUAAUGCGUUAGCUUCGGCACGGACGGAGUCGACACCGCCCACACCUAGCACCCAUCGUUUACGGCGUGGACUAC
RNAcentral lists this unclassified non-coding RNA (373 nucleotides) under uncultured Actinomycetes bacterium. Its description in RNAcentral is "uncultured actinobacterium contains 16S-23S intergenic spacer region". The record is from RNAcentral. Lineage: Bacteria; Bacillati; Actinomycetota; Actinomycetes.